Chiloscyllium plagiosum (whitespotted bambooshark) is the source of this 2450-nucleotide non-coding RNA. The record is from RefSeq and is a predicted model, not a curated record. NCBI's taxonomy places the organism in Eukaryota, Metazoa, Chordata, Chondrichthyes, Orectolobiformes, Hemiscylliidae.
AGGGGGGAAGAGAGAGAGUGUUGGGGGGGGGGGGAAUGGGAAGAGAAUCGCGUUAAACAGAAAAGAAAAAGCAGCAGACCUACAAGAAGCACAACACAUGCUCGUGCAUACUAGAGUUUGCUAUUAAACAAGAUUUUUUUUGGUUGCGAUUGUUGCUGCUGAAUACGGGCCGCCAUCAUCAGUAGAUGAGAGGACUCAGCCAGGCCCCACCGAUACAGGAUUAUCCGAUAGAAGAAGAAGAAGAAGAAGCAAAAAAAAAAUUCAAGCCAGGGAAAAAAAAAAUUACUGAAGGUUACGAUCGGCCCGUCAACAGCCCGCUUGUAACAAAACUGUCGUCUCUCAUGGCUUUUUGCCACUCCAGCUGUCAAUCAAAGCAGGGUUGUCAAGGUAUUGAAUGAAUGAUGAUCUGCCGUUGCAACAACUCUGGCUGCCUUGGACCGCUAUCUCACUGUAAAAAAACAGCGAUGAAAAAACGUUCACGAGGAGUUAACAACACACGAAAAAAAUAACAGCGAGAAAGUGGGUGGAAGGCAGCUUCGGCUUCUUUCGUAGCUUUUUUUUGUUGUUUGUUUGAAUAAGUGGCUGUCAGUAAGUAUUGAGGAGGUGGCAGGUUGGGAGGUUGGUUGGUUACAGAGUGAGUGUGUUGUCAGUAAUAAUGCGCUGGCAGCGCUGAGCGGCGGCGGCGGGAGAAUGACGGAACCCGGAAGUAGUGGUGGCCAUAGCCAGUCGUACGCCAAGCUGUCUCUCAUAUGCAGACUAUGCAAUCGGACCGCUGCAAGUCAUGGGGGGGGGAGUUGCGGGGAGGCGGGGGGAGCCAGAAGCGAAAAAAAGCCUCACUCAGAACACCCCCCCCCCUCAUCAGAUUGUAAAACAGAUCUCUAAAUCAAUCAGCAUGAUGUUAUCUGAGCGAGAUUCAUCUUUCCCGUAAAGAGACGUACAACUUCUGAAGAUCCAGCUACCCUCCGAGACGGUCCUCCAAUAAGCAUUCUUCUGCUAUACUGUACUGGCGACUCGUCUUGCAACAGAUUUGCAGAUUUCUGUUAUCGAUGUGAGAUACCCCCAACCAACUGAGAAUCGUAUCCUGAAAUGCAGCCUUUUAUAUAAUAUUUCAAUCGGGAUUCGAGUAGCUGCCGUUCAAAUAAUGCAAAUCGGUGUCCGGUUAUGGAGUGCAUCUCCAUCAACAAGCAGAUAGCAGGGGAUAGCCGAAGAUUGCUUUAACAGCCGGUAUCAGUUCAUUACGGAGUGGUGGGAAGUACAAUAUUUCUGGUACAAAGUCAUAACAAGGAAGGAGUCAAGAAAGGAAGGCGAUAAAUACUGGAGACUUGCAGUUAUUUUCGUGCCCUCGUUAAAAAGAGACGCAUUUGAAUGUCUUCCUCGUUGACCAGAGUUAACGCUGGUUUUGCUUUGAUGUUGAUUGUCCUUCAGUCCAAGUUUAUGUGUGUUGUUUCGGAGCGUGUGUUCACCCCCCCCCCCCAGCCCCGAUUGUAUAUGAUGUAUUCCAACCCUCGCUGCAAAAGUUUGAAGUCUCUACUCGUUCAGGAAAUGAGGUAAAAGCACGGGUUUGAAUAGGUCAGUCUGCAGCGUGUUUCUGCAGCUUUCCAAGAAUUCUAUAUUCUAAUCGGGCUCGGUAUUAGUUUUACAGUUUGUUUAUUUGUUUUAGAGAUCGUGAUUUAAAUUCCCACCGCCUCCACACCCUCCCCCAACAACAAAAAGUGGAAAGGAAGAUCGAGGACGAUUAUUGGUGAACUUUGCCUGACCCCAAUGUAAGUCCAGGCUGAAGGAAAAUCUCCCCACUGAGUGAGUGUUCAGCCGUUACCUGUGAACCGUCGUAUAUUAAACGCACCGGGUCUCGCUUUAUACCCUACCGCAAUCUCGCCACAACCCAGAGAGAGGGGGGGGGGGGGAACAGGCGACGUGAACUUUCGGCAGAUGUUCUGCUGUGGUCUGCGAGAAAUUCAUUGGAAGGCACGGUUUCAUAGACAGCCCUUUAGCGCUAUCUGGCGGGACUGACUGUAGCAAUCCGAUCGCUGAUCCAAACAUAUUCUCUCACCCCCCACCCCAAAAAUAUCCGUGAACCUUGCAGCCGCGCGAAGUUCAGUUGACCAGCACCACCGGGUCAGUGAUAUGGUUUUAAAAUGAACAGAUUAAAUUGUGCCAAUCGAACCAAUUUGAAAUAAAGCUCAAUUUGAUAACGCCACGUCCAACACGCUGGUGAUCUCAUUUCGUUUUCAUUAUCGAAGGAGUGAACUUUUCAACAGCCGCGCUGCCGAGAAAGGCGAAUUGCGCUAUUUUGCCAAAACUGUCCGUUCGCUUGAUGGCCGUACAAUUUCUAUUGAUAGGUUUUUGCCCCUAAUGUUUCAAAAGUAAUACAUUUUGUUUCGGGAUUUAAGGGCGGUUAUUGCUAAAUUGUCACGCCUGGGCGCCGAUGUUCCUUUCCUUAAUCGCAUUUU